Ornithorhynchus anatinus (platypus) is the source of this 643-nucleotide long non-coding RNA. RefSeq lists it as uncharacterized. Lineage: Eukaryota; Metazoa; Chordata; Mammalia; Monotremata; Ornithorhynchidae. The transcript has 2 exons. The record is from RefSeq and is a predicted model, not a curated record.
CCCGCCGCUUUUCUCGCGGCCGGCGGACGAGCGCGGCCGGCAAAGCUAGGGGAGUCGCCCCGGCCCUCUCCCGAAGGUGCCUCCCGUGACCCGGGAUUGGGCAAGAAACGAGCCCGUGGAGCCGGGAGGAGCCCCAGCGGGAAGAGGCGGCGUUCGGAUGAUCUUGGAUGCGAGAACUUAUCUGGCCGAGUCCGCCUCAAGGAAGUUCUUGGAAGAUGGUAGCCGUUGUCCACCUGUGUGGCUGGACUAACCCAGCACGUAGCCCCAUCAGCUCCUUCCAGGAAGGAGGAGGAAGAACUGUUUGUUUCUUCUUCUUGGUGAAGAGGACAUUUCAGAAGGCACGAAUUCGCGUUCAGAGCAGAGAGAGGCGGGGGGCGGGUGGGUCGGCCACCGUCUGAGCGUCCAGGAUCUUUCUUCCAACCGGCGAGGGGCUGAGCGUCGCCGCAAAUGGCCGGGGCCGGUGAGCCCGGGAGGGAAUUGACGGAGUUCGAUUUACCGGGUGGGAGGGUUGUUUACGACUUUGGACCAUUCCCCGCCCCACCUGGAUAUAAACUUCAAAUGGUCCUUGAGACUACUGAAGGGAGUCCCUGAAACUACUGAAGAGAAUGUACGGUGUGAAAUAAAGCUCAAUCUUUAUUCAAGA